UUUAAAACAAGAGUGAAUAGGCACCUUCUAGGUAAACGCGUCCCAUCUUAGGCCACAUCAUCACUUUCCAUCAGGUGUGAUUGUGGUCAAGCGCUUGCCUAUAAUAAUAAAAAAAAUCAGUCAUACUCUCCAUGGGUCAUACUACUCAACAUGUAUAGUCUCACCCGCCGCGAUUCGAAACUUUUAUAUCGAGUUCGGUUACGGUUACUAACGGAUAUAUUAUCUACUAUUUCGGAUAUCCGAUAGUUUCGGUUACAUAUUAUUAUAUCCCUUGGGAGAUAUCACGAUUCUAAAAUAUGAAGGAAAACUUUUAGAAUCGCGAUAUCUCAGGAAUGGUGAUUCUUAGAAAAAAAAAAAAAACUUUAGUAGAUACUUUUAUGAUCUACAAUUUAUGUCUUACCUGUUUCAUGAUAAACCUUUUAUCUGGAAGAUGCAAAACACUCAUUUUUGUGAACUUUAACCUCAAAUAUACUUUUUGCAAAUGUGGGAUCAAUGGGGAUUUUUCACAAUUUAUUUCGUACCAAUUUGUUGUAGUAUGUAUGAUCUCUACGCGUAUAAUUGUAUUCUUGUAUGUCUAUAUUGACCGGGCUAUGAUAUAUUUUAAAUAUCCUAUAGUGAGAAAUGUGCUUCAAUGGCAUCGCGCGAGACGAGUCCGUGACGACAUACUCGCCUAGAGUCACUCGUCGACUCGCCGCGACAGUACCGCCCUGUGGAGACUAUCGCCGCGAUUCUCUUGUCCGUGGAGAUGACGCUUUAGCAGUGAGUUCUCAUGUAACUUACAUGAGAACUCACUACCACCCUAUAUGAUGAAAGGUAUCUCAAAAAUUAAAGAACGAUACAAAACUCUUACAUAAUUUACAACAGUACGAUUUUUAACCAAUUGUGAGUUCUCAUGUGCCUCACUAAACUACUCUUCUCGUUACAUUUAUACUUGCAUAACUUGCAAGAAUAUGGUUUUUCACCAGUGUGAGUUCUCAUGUGCCUCACUAAAUCACUCUUU
Maniola jurtina (meadow brown) is the source of this 1000-nucleotide long non-coding RNA. RefSeq lists it as uncharacterized. The transcript has 3 exons. The record is from RefSeq and is a predicted model, not a curated record. Lineage: Eukaryota; Metazoa; Arthropoda; Insecta; Lepidoptera; Nymphalidae.